Molecule: unclassified non-coding RNA, 204 nt
Filed under: fungal sp.
Lineage: Eukaryota; Fungi
Description: partial internal transcribed spacer region
Rfam family: Eukaryotic small subunit ribosomal RNA (bases 1-46)
Source: RNAcentral
AAGUCGUAACAAGUUUUCCGUAGGUGAACCUGCGGAAGGAUCAUUAACACGUAACCAACGUUGAAACCUCGUGUCCUUCAUUAUGCUGGUCUGACCCAUCUUCCCCCACGAUCACAACCAUUGCACGAUUAACAUGGAGUGCUUUAGGCAGCACCCACCAUCAAAUGCUUAAAACAACUGUUAACAAUGGAUAUCUUGGUUCUC